AUUUACUUACAAAAAGAUUUGAGAAGGACUCUGCAGUAGGCAUGGAAACACAAUAUAACACAGGGGGUGCUGCCUAAUUAGAUUUUUCCUUGCAGUAGCAGUCGAUCGAAGCAUCUAAUCAAUUAAUCGUUGAUCGACUAUUAUUAACGCGCCGAUCAUUUAUCCUUGCAAUACUUAAGAGAAAGAAGUAAAAAGGAUCUCACUGGCGAACGUUGUCCCUUUUCGAAAAUAUUUUUGUGGUUGCUUUGGUGUAUUGCGCGGUGUCACUUUGGCUAUUGGAUGUCCCAGAUGAAUAUGCCUACAUUGAAGCUGGAUGAAUGAAAAUUUCAUUUUUGUCUGAUUUUUCUUGGGUGCAUCGUAUCACUGACUUCCCCCGGCAUUUUUAGCAUACUUUGGUCAAAUAUUCUUCUCUAAAUAUGUAGUGCUAAGCAUAUCUAACGUAUAAAACAUGGUAGAGAAUUAGCAAUCUGAUCCAUAAGCUGCUCAACUGGCUCUUACAAAAAGAAUCUCUCAAGCCAUGAAAAAUAUGAUCUGCCUGUUGUUUAUUUGCUCACUUUUUGUGAUAUGCAAGGGAGAAAUUACGAACGCAUUGACACAAUGCGACGAAUCCAUGGAUGGCAUCAUAGUCUCCGGCAACGUGUGUAGUUUCAGUUGCUGCUUGGCAAAUUAUUUGCGACAGAUGCAAAAGUCGGCCGACGGUAACUAUUCGCCGAGAAAACGUGGUAUGAUUCUCCGUCACGUAUUGAGCAGAAGACGCAGAGGUUUAACCAGCAAGUGCUCUUCAUUUCCUGACAGUGGGUUAUCCUGCAUGGACAGUGGAUACGAGUUCAAGCACAAAACAGUCAUAAAAUACAACUCUGGAGGAUGCUACAUUUGCAAUAAUGGUGUGCAUUAUCAUUACGUUGAUAUGAAUUCUAUGACAUCAUCAUCUGUGAAUGAAGGCUAUACUCUUGUCAGAUUUGGAUAAAAUAACAAAGACGUAAUGUGGAAUCUAUUAUUUAACUGUAGAUUAGUUUUUUUGCGUUACUUAUGAUUAAAAGUUGAUCAUGACAAUGAUACUAAUGAUGGUAAAAUUAUUUAAAAGUUGUUUUUCUCUGUCAGUUGAGCUUACUAAUGCAGUGGUGGAUCCCGACCAAAACUUGGGUCCCAUAAAGGAGUGGUCCUAUAAAUUUCUGGCGACAUUCUUAACCUUCGUCCAAAGUUAGGCACGCCCAGCUGACAAUUAAAAAAUACUUUCAAAGCAUGGUUAUCAAAGAAGUUUGUAAAUCAAACCAGACAUGAUCAUCGUGAAUUCUGGAAGAAUAUUCUAGAUUUCUUGCUCACAAACGAUUAUAAUGAAAAUUUAUUACCUAGUUAAAGGAGGGGUUGAGCCUACUCGGUGUUGCAGAGUUUGAGUAGACUGCAACACAGAGAUUUGUUGCAAAAUUGAUUCAGUAUUAUCUAUGCAAAAACAUAAAUCAUAACAUUACAGUUUCAUUUAGUUGAAUUGGCCAAACUCUUAAGAAUAAAACACUACACCCUUUGUUUAAGAUGUUUUGGAUACGAAGGUUUAUAGUGGUGCGUAGAAAAUAGUUAUGGGUGUCAGUAGGCUUGGUAUGGAAUAUAUUUUUUUUGUUUAGUUCUAAUUGGGUCAAUGGAUAUUAAAGUAUCGAGUAGGGUACGGCUUUCAAAUUUUAUUCAAUCAUUUCUGUAUGGAACAGCCUGCCAGACAAUAUUGUUACGCAGACGAAUUCUGAUUUCUUUCACAAUCUAUGUCUAAACCACCUCAGUAAAGUGGUAAAUGGUUGUUAAAUCGAUAAUGAUGAUGAUGAUGAUGAUGAUGAUAAUGAUGAUGAUGAUGAUGAUGAUGAUGAUGAUGAUGAUGAUGAUGAUAUGAUGGUAUGAUUGCGCAGCUCUUCUUAAAAUGAUAUUUUUAAUGGUUGAGGUGGUUUAUUGUUGAAAUGAGUUUCCCUUCUCCACCAGAGAUGUCAGUGUACCCAGCAUAAAGUUGGAAGUCUUAUUUCCAGGUAAAAGAUGAAUGUUUCUCCCAAUUCACUUUUCACCCAUCUACAUUGUCGUAUAAGAUGGGGCACAGUGUCUAUCGCGAGUCCUUUCAUCUGUAUAUAAGAUGAGUUAAGAUUUCGUAUAUGGUGCUUGAAUGUGGUGAUUACUUCACUUGGUGGAUCUUUAAUAUCUCUGUUUCCUAGUGAUUUUCUGAAAGCUUUAAUUUCUUCUUUGCUUAAUGUUCCUUCGUAUAAAGUUAACGAACAUCUAUUUUUACGAGUAGCAUUCUAUGUGGGAGAUUUUUAGUAUCUUCCAUCGUAUUUAACCAAUACACUUUUACUCUAUACUAAAAUACACGAGAAAAACUAACCCAGAUUGUCCAUUAAUAUCUUCAAUAAACUGCCAUACAUCUAAUUCCUUCCAAAUUUGUAGAUCACUUUAUGCAAGGUUUGGUACGUAAAGCUAAAUUAUACAUAAGAGAUUCAUUAGACCCAUUUAACAUGGAUUUUUUCGAAUGCUUUUGCUAUUUUUACAUCAGUUAGAUUUUUCUAAAGCAUAUCUUUUAGUGAGUUGCUGAUAAGGUUGUAGAGUCUUCACAGGACUAGUUACUUUGUUCUUGAUAGAAUUCACAUUCAUUAGUUGUUUAUUAGCCAUUUGAAAAAUUCUUCAAUGCCCCUAAUUACGGUUGCUACGCCUUUGUCGGCUCUUGUGACUAUAAAGUCAUCUCUGCUACAAUUUAGAAAUAAUAACAAUUUACAAGAACAAUUGUGUCAAUGCGAAUUAGCUUAAGUACACUGUAUUUUGACUGAAUGUAGAAAAUAACAAGUCCAGGGCUGGACGCAAACCUGCGACUCGCGACAUUGUACGUCGUGGCUCCAUCGAACGAGCUUCAGCCUGGAAUCGUAAUAAUCUAUCAAUCGCAAAAUGGACUUCAUAAUAGCCAAGUUUGCCUAAUGGACUACCAGCAUUUUACGUACACAGCGACAGGUUAUCUACCUUUCGGGUAUGCCCCGAAGGCCUAUGGGACAUAUACCAACCGAGAUCUGCUCACUUGACCUACAUAGACCGGGAACAAUCCUAAAUAACCUGACGAAGUGCCUAAACCUUGCUUGGACGUCAGGGACAUUUACUAUUUUUGUCGCUAAUUAUUUUAAGGUUACGGUAAACGUUUUCUGGAUGAAAACAAUCAUUUUUCGAUUAUUUCACAUCCAAGUAGCCGAACUUUCAAGGCACACAAUGAUAUAAAAAUUGAAACUAACAAAAAUCUUGAAAAUGGGAAAAAUCCCAUGAAAACGAAGGUUUCCAUAAUUUCUUUAUCAGAACUUUUAGUUGAGGCCUGAAAAUCUUGACCUGUUGAGCCGAUUAUCGUUGCUUUGCGGUUGUGGUCGCAUGUCUCAUUUACAAUAUCGCAUUGUACAUCCAUGUAUCCCAUGUACAGCCGUGUUUAUUUAAACAGGCUUAUUGAUCUUAAA
Long non-coding RNA from Rhopilema esculentum, 3455 nucleotides. RefSeq lists it as uncharacterized. Lineage: Eukaryota; Metazoa; Cnidaria; Scyphozoa; Rhizostomeae; Rhizostomatidae. The record is from RefSeq and is a predicted model, not a curated record.